CCAGAAGUGGGUCCGGAUUCGUCUCAGGUAAAGAGAACUCGGUUGGACUCCAGAGAAAGGCCACUGGGAGACACAACGAUGCCAGCAAGACCUGUUUGUCCAUCUUUUCUUGGUGGCGAAGGGGACGCUGCCCCUGUGGAACAAGAGCAGGGUCCAGUGUGCUUUGAAGAUGUAGCUGUCCAUUUCACAGACGAGGAGUGGGCACUGCUGGAUCCUGACCAGAGAGCUCUGCACAAGGAAGUCAUGGAGGAGAAUGGUGGGAUCUUGGACUCUCUGGGUAAGGCUUCCUCUUGGAU
Molecule: long non-coding RNA, 296 nt
Organism: Lacerta agilis (Sand lizard)
Lineage: Eukaryota; Metazoa; Chordata; Lepidosauria; Squamata; Lacertidae
Exons: 3
Source: RefSeq, a predicted model, not a curated record